GAAAAGGCAACGCCGGCUGUUAGCUUUGCUGUUGCCCUCGGCGAGCACUGCUCUACGGGCCAGGCGUGCUCUGGUGCCACCACCUCCUUGCUCCGGGGAUCUGCUCAGUUUGGCGACUGCAUUUCGAGAGUUGGAUCAGCAGCUCAGCCUGCAGAUGCCCAAUAAAUGGAACCAUCACCAGAGAAGCAACAGGGAUGUGCAGCCAGAGUCAGGCUGGGAUCACCUCUUUUGACAGAAAUAUCAUCUUGGGCGUGAGGCCAAAGUGCUUGCACCAGCGCCGCUACCAUGAGAGAAGACGAACGUUUUGGAUACUUUAAGCAGAGGAGGAGUCAGAG
Long non-coding RNA from Dromaius novaehollandiae (emu), 335 nucleotides. RefSeq lists it as uncharacterized. The transcript has 4 exons. The record is from RefSeq and is a predicted model, not a curated record. Lineage: Eukaryota; Metazoa; Chordata; Aves; Casuariiformes; Dromaiidae.